RNAcentral lists this unclassified non-coding RNA (629 nucleotides) under Hevea brasiliensis (rubber tree). Lineage: Eukaryota; Viridiplantae; Streptophyta; Magnoliopsida; Malpighiales; Euphorbiaceae. The record is from RNAcentral.
CCUGAACAGGUUGACUGGAUUGGCCAGAAGAAUCAGAUUGAUGCUGCCAAGGCUGCUGGAGUUAAACAAAUCGUUUUGGUCGGCUCUAUGGGUGGAACAAAUAUCAACCAUCCCUUGAACAGUUUGGGUAAUGGGAACAUAUUGGUUUGGAAAAGGAAGGCUGAGCAGUAUUUGGCUGACUCCGGUGUUCCAUACACCAUUAUAAGGGCUGGAGGUCUGCAGGAUAAGGAUGGCGGGAUCCGAGAACUGCUAGUUGGGAAGGACGAUGAACUUCUUCAAACAGAGACGAGAACCAUUGCCAGGGCCGAUGUCGCCGAAGUCUGCCUUCAGGCACUGCAAUUUGAGGAGGCCAAAUUCAAGGCGUUCGAUCUAGCCUCGAAGCCUGAGGGAGUAGGCACGCCCACAAAGGAUUUCAAGGCCUUGUUCUCUCAAGUGACGACGAGAUUCUGAUUUGGGUAGAGUUUGUAAUAUCAUUCUUCCCAUUUGAAGCAUUGUUGUCCUGAAUCGUUGUGCUGCUAUUAAAUUUUGAACAGUGAUCUUUCAAUAGUUGUGGGAGAGGAGAGGCUGUAAGGAUCCUAGAAUAAUGAUGCAUUAGAACUAAAUCUCAUGCCAUCAGUCUGUAGUUCAGA